This 332-nucleotide long non-coding RNA is filed under the name Nicotiana benthamiana. RNAcentral's name for it is "long non-coding RNA (NBEN_LNC028527)". The record is from RNAcentral. Lineage: Eukaryota; Viridiplantae; Streptophyta; Magnoliopsida; Solanales; Solanaceae.
UUCGCGGUCGAUGAUGUAAUAUUGAUUGCGAUGCCAUCAGCAUCGGAAGGAUCGGGAAUCAAGGGUAAACAAGAAGCCAAAUAGAAAUCACCGCCACCAGCCUCGACCAAAUCGGAGAAGGAAGAGGAAGAGGAAAAUUUUUUGACCCCUCGAAUUUUGUUAUUCCGAAAGAUUCCAACGCCAUCAAAUCAACACUCAAAGAGCUGGAGUAGGUUAUAUUGAACGAUCACCUGCUCGAGCGAAAGGUAUACCUGGGAACAGGGUUAACCCCCAAACUUAAGAAAAGCUUAUUCACUUUCUUAUUGAUAACAUAGAUUGUUUUGCUUGGUCCC